UUACGCCAGCAUCCUAGCCGAAGCGCGGACCUCAGUCCCGGCUGGCCGUAUUACACCCUGGGCUAUAACACCUCCACCGAAGUGGAGGCCACAUUCCCAGAGCCUUUAUCCGGCCGCCGAAACUGAUGCUGGCCUGUCCAAACUGAGUAAACCGGUCAGAAGACCGGCCGAACAGUUUAAACAAGUCUGAUUGCAAGCGCUUCCCUUUCAACAAUUUCACGUGCUUUUUAACUCUCUUUCCAAAGUGCUUUUCAUCUUUCGAUCACUCUACUUGUGCGCUAUCGGUCUCUCGCCAAUAUUUAGCUUUAGAAGAAAUUUACCUCCCAUUUAGAGCUGCAUUCCCAAACAACUCGACUCGUCGAAGGAGAUUUACAUAGGGUGCCAUUUCCUGUCACAUACGGGAUUCUCACCCUCUAUGACGUCCUGUUCCAAGGAACUUAGACAGGCGGCUUCCCCAAAUCAUCCUCUACAAAUUACAAUGCGAACCCGAAGGCUAGCUUUCAAAUUUGAGCUGUUGCCGCUUCACUCGCCGUUACUAGGGCAAUCCCU
This 549-nucleotide ribosomal RNA is filed under the name Aureobasidium proteae. RNAcentral describes it as "partial 26S ribosomal RNA". The record is from RNAcentral. Lineage: Eukaryota; Fungi; Ascomycota; Dothideomycetes; Dothideales; Saccotheciaceae.